AAUCUUGUAAGUUAGCUGUUUUUACGGUGCUUUAGCAGUUUGUUUUCCCUAAUCCAUAAUGGUAGCUAUAAAAAUCCGAUUUGUCACGUGACCUCCGACUCCAAGAAUGUGCAACAUACCUGUCAACUGGACACUUGGACGUGGACCUAUGACGUAGAUCCGCGUUGUUAGAUAAAACGAGUUGUUUAGAAUAAAUGAUGCGAUGGGACAGGAAGAUGGAAUUUCAUAUUCAGUUCAAAAGCUGUCAAAAUAAAAUGGUGAAUUGAGUUUAAACCAGAAAAGAUAUAAACGUAAUCUUUGGGAUUCAACUUGUAAGGAUGUUCCAAGAACCACUUAGUUGGAGAAGGAAAACUGUGGCAGGAAUGUUUGACUGGAAAUAUAAACAAUGUUGUACAUAAUGCAGAUAGCUUAGGCAAAAAAGAGAUUGGUGAAAUGGAGAAUGAGACUAACUAGGGUGAAAAAAAAUGAAUAUUAAUAUGUGAAUGGUACUUUGUUUAACAUCUACCUGUUUCUACAGAUACAGUACAGACGCAUUUAUAAAUGGGCUUGAUGUUUUUUUGAAUUAAAUAUGUUGUAUUGA
This is a non-coding RNA of Hydra vulgaris (swiftwater hydra), 580 nucleotides long. NCBI's taxonomy places the organism in Eukaryota, Metazoa, Cnidaria, Hydrozoa, Anthoathecata, Hydridae. The record is from RefSeq and is a predicted model, not a curated record.